CCUACGGGAGGCAGCAGUAGGGAAUAUUGCUCAAUGGGGGAAACCCUGAAGCAGCAACGCCGCGUGGAGGAUGAAGGUUUUCGGAUUGUAAACUCCUUUUGGUAGAGAAGAUAAUGACGGGUUCUAACGAAUAAUCACCGGCUAACUCCGUCCCAGCAGCCGCGGUAAUACGGAGGGUGCAAGCGUUACUCGGAAUCACUGGGCGUAAAGAGCGCGUAGGCGGGAUAGCAAGUCAGAUGUGAAAUCCUAUGGCUUAACCAUAGAACUGCAUUUGAAACUGUUAUUCUAGAGUAUGGGAGAGGUAGGUGGAAUUCUUGGUGUAGGGGUAAAAUCCGUAGAGAUCAAGAGGAAUACUCAUUGCGAAGGCAGCAUACCGGCGCUCAACUGACGCUCAUGCACGAAAGUGUGGGUAUCGAACAGGAUUAGAUACCCUUGUAGUC
RNAcentral lists this ribosomal RNA (440 nucleotides) under uncultured bacterium. Its description in RNAcentral is "partial 16S ribosomal RNA". It matches the Rfam family "Bacterial small subunit ribosomal RNA", at positions 338 to 795 of the family's 1533-position model. The record is from RNAcentral.